CUUGGACCACAGUGCUUCAUUAAAGCUGGACUUUGAACACUGUGUGUGUCUGCUGCUGCUCAGCUGUUCGAGAUUCUGACUUUAACUGUGACAUGAUUUGAACAACAUGGAGCACGCUGCAUUGUAUAAUGGUAUUGUGAAAGAGAAAAGCAAACAGCUUAUAACCUUUACAUGGAGUAAAUGGAGUAAAUGGAGCAGGGGUAAAGAAAUAAACUGUGACAGAUUAUGACAGUAAAUUGAGAAAAGCUGAAAAGACUUUGAAAAGAGAAAAGGAAAAAUAAAGUAAAACAACAAGAGAAACUGUGUGCGGAGAACGCAUAUACUUAUAGAUAUUGAAGCUCGGCUUACCUCUUUAGCUAGCACCACUAGCACCAUUUAUCCUUACCCCUUUUCAACAUCAAUAGCCCGGUAAUGUAAGAGGCAAGAAAAUGGAAACAGUGUUUUGACACUUUUUUUUUUCGACACUUUUUAAAAAAGGAGUUUGGACCCCCCUUUUUUUUCUGUUUUUAUCUCCCUAUUCUUUUUUUCCUUCUAUUGGGGUAAGACAUCAAAGCGGUAA
Molecule: long non-coding RNA, 559 nt
Organism: Bombina bombina (fire-bellied toad)
Lineage: Eukaryota; Metazoa; Chordata; Amphibia; Anura; Bombinatoridae
Exons: 3
Source: RefSeq, a predicted model, not a curated record